Molecule: long non-coding RNA, 269 nt
Filed under: Elaeis guineensis (African oil palm)
Lineage: Eukaryota; Viridiplantae; Streptophyta; Magnoliopsida; Arecales; Arecaceae
Description: long non-coding RNA (EGUI_LNC039846)
Source: RNAcentral
GCUGCUUUCUCCUACUUUCAACAUGUUUAAGUAAAAUCUCCUGAUCUAUAAAUUUGCUUCAGAGAAGCUUAUGAUUUACCUUUCUCUCUUCCAACCUCUUCUUCAGGUGCUUCACUUCUGAUCCGACCUCAUGGACUCCUGAGAGUAGCAUUGGGGAGGCCUAAACUCCCUUGGCAGUAGAGCAUCCAUCUCCUCAAGAAGCUCUUUCUCCAUGGCUCAUCCUUUUGAAAGUUUUGGCCCUCUUGGAUGGACCACCACUGGAGCUCCUU